GACGAACGCUGGCGGCGUGCCUAAUACAUGCAAGUCGAGCGGACAUUCCGGAGUGUUUGCCCUCCGGAAGGUUAGCCGCGGAGGGGUGAGAAACAUGUAGGCAACCCCUCCAAAAGUGCGGUAUAACAGUCAGAACCGAACGCAAAUACCGGAUAGUCGGGCUUCUCGCAUGUGGGUAGUGGGAAAGGCGGAUGAAUCUGCCUCUAAUGGAUGGGCCUGCGGCGCAUUAGCUAGUUGGUGGGGUAACGGCCUACCAAGGCGACGAGGCGUAGCCGACCUGAGAGGGUGAUCGGCCACACUGGAACUGAGACACGGCCCAGACUCCUACGGGAGGCAGCAGUAGGGAAUCUUCCGCAAUGGGCGAAAGCCUGACGGAGCAACGCCGCGUGAGUGAGGAAGGCCUUCGGAUCGUAAAGCUCUGUUGCCAGGGAAGAACGAAUGGGGGAGUAACUGUGCUUGCCAUGACGGUACCUAAGAAGAAAGCCCCGGCUAACUACGUG
This 500-nucleotide ribosomal RNA is filed under the name uncultured bacterium. RNAcentral's name for it is "partial 16S ribosomal RNA". It matches the Rfam family "Bacterial small subunit ribosomal RNA", at positions 28 to 507 of the family's 1533-position model. The record is from RNAcentral.